GGCCGCGGGAAUUCGAUUCAGGCCUAACACAUGCAAGUCGUACGAGAGUUUUUAACUCAAGUGGCGGACGGGUGAGUAACACGUAAGAAUUUGCCUUUAGGAGGGGGAUAACAACUGGAAACGGUUGCUAAUACCCCAUAUGCUUUCGAGUGAAAUGGAUUUUCCGCCUAAAGAGAAGCUUGCGGCUGAUUAGCUUGUUGGUGAGGUAAUGGCUUACCAAGGCGACGAUCAGUAUCUGGUUUGAGAGGACGAUCAGACACACUGGAACUGAGACACGGUCCAGACUCCUACGGGAGGCAGCAGUGGGGAAUUUUCCGCAAAGGGCGAAAGCCUGACGGAGCAAUACCGCGUGAGGGAUGAAGGGGUAUGGGUUGUAAACCUCUUUUUCAGGGAGGAAUCAA
RNAcentral lists this ribosomal RNA (401 nucleotides) under uncultured bacterium. Its description in RNAcentral is "bacterial SSU rRNA". It matches the Rfam family "Bacterial small subunit ribosomal RNA", at positions 39 to 453 of the family's 1533-position model. The record is from RNAcentral.